Molecule: ribosomal RNA, 494 nt
Filed under: uncultured Actinomycetes bacterium
Lineage: Bacteria; Bacillati; Actinomycetota; Actinomycetes
Description: bacterial SSU rRNA
Rfam family: Bacterial small subunit ribosomal RNA
Source: RNAcentral
UGGGGAAUAUUGCACAAUGGGCGAAAGCCUGAUGCAGCGACGCCGCGUGAGGGAUGACGGCCUUCGGGUUGUAAACCUCUUUCAGCAGGGAAGAAGCGAAAGUGACGGUACCUGCAGAAGAAGCGCCGGCUAACUACGUGCCAGCAGCCGCGGUAAUACGUAGGGCGCGAGCGUUGUCCGGAAUUAUUGGGCGUAAAGAGCUCGUAGGCGGCUUGUCACGUCGGGUGUGAAGACCGGGGCUUAACCCGGUUCUGCAUUCGAUACGGGCUAGCUAGAGUGUGGUAGGGGAGAUCGGAAUUCCUGGUGUAGCGGUGAAAUGCGCAGAUAUCAGGAGGAACACCGGGUGGCGAAGGCGGAUCUCUGGGCCAUUACUGACGCUGAGGAGCGAAAGCGUGGGGAGCGAACAGGAUUAGAUACCCUGGUAGUCCACGCCGUAAACGGUGGGAACUAGGUGUUGGCGACAGUUCCACGUCGUCGGUGCCGCAGCUAACGCA